RNAcentral lists this unclassified non-coding RNA (606 nucleotides) under Talaromyces scorteus. Its description in RNAcentral is "sequence contains 18S rRNA gene, ITS1, 5.8S rRNA gene, ITS2, 28S rRNA gene". The stretch from base 228 to 381 matches the Rfam family "5.8S ribosomal RNA". The record is from RNAcentral. Lineage: Eukaryota; Fungi; Ascomycota; Eurotiomycetes; Eurotiales; Trichocomaceae.
AGUCGUAACAAGGUUUCCGUAGGUGAACCUGCGGAAGGAUCAUUACCGAGUGCGGGUUCCAACGAGCCCAACCUCCCACCCGUGUUUACCGUGACCGCGUUGCCUCGGCGGGCCCACCGGGGCCUGGCCCCGGUCGCCGGGGGGCAUCUGCCCCCGGGCCCGCGCCCGCCGAAGCGCUCUAGAACCCUGUCUGAACAGUGAGUCUGAGUGAAUGAUGAAAUCAUUAAAACUUUCAACAACGGAUCUCUUGGUUCCGGCAUCGAUGAAGAACGCAGCGAAAUGCGAUAAUUAAUGUGAAUUGCAGAAUUCCGUGAAUCAUCGAGUUUUUGAACGCACAUUGCGCCCCCUGGCAUUCCGGGGGGCAUGCCUGUCCGAGCGUCAUUUCUGCCCUCCAGCACGGCUGGGUGUUGGGCGCUGUCCCCCCGGGGACACGCCCCAAAGGCAGUGGCGGCGCCGCAUCGGGUCCUCGAGCGUAUGGGGCUUUGUCACCCGCUCGGGAGGGACUCGUCGGCGCUGGUCUUCCCCCAGGCGACCCCCCUUCGGGGCUCGUCUUCUUCCGGUUGACCUCGGAUCAGGUAGGGUUACCCGCUGAACCUAAGCAUAUCA